UUUCUAAGGAUGAUCUUCAGCGAGCUCACGCUCACUAUCGGAUCGUUUUAGAAACAUCAGUGGCCAACAGAUCGCCAGAUCGUUGAGCUGCAUUGGCGGGAUUUCGCCGUCUUCGUUUCUCUUUCUUCGCGGACGAACACGCGCUGGGCCUGCAACGGCAGGAUCCAGGGUCCUUAACGGGAUGUGCGUUAGGGGCUUGUAGCUCAGUUGGUUAGAGCGCGCGCUUGAUAAGCGUGAGGUCGGAAGUUCAAGUCUUCCCAGGCCCACCACUUUCAUCGAGUGAGCAUUCGUCUUCUGGUUACGGGGCCAUAGCUCAGCUGGGAGAGCGCGUGCUUUGCAAGCAUGAGGUCGUCGGUUCGAUCCCGUCUGGCUCCACCAGAUGGUUUGAUCACCGAGAUCUUGACCGUCGUCCGCGAAACAUCACUUCGCAUCCUGCUAGUCUGGAUAGACAGCAGUUUGCGUGUUUUCUGACAUCGUAAAGAGGAGAUCGAUCCGAGUUGGGUCGUGCAGCAUAUCGUUGCGCGAGCCUUCAUUAUCUCCGGAUCAUUUCGGCGCUCGCUUCCAGCCGUGAGGUUGGAUGCGGGUUGUAAAUGAUCCUUUUAGCGAAGCUUGACCGCCUCGCUAUCGGAACGAUCUUACGAAGCAAGCUGGUCUUUCUAGUCAAUGUCCGGCUGCGGAUAGCGUUCAUCGAGGGCGCGUGCCGCAAGGCAAUUCUGCAGACAACAUUCUGCCGAGUGUGUGGACAUUGAUAAUGAGAGCAAUCAAGUGCCUUAAGGGUGUUCGGUGGAUGCCUUGGCGCUGAGAGGCGAUGAAGGACGUGCUACGCUGCGAUAAGCCGUGGGGAGCUGCGAAGAAGCUUUGAUCCGCGGAU
Molecule: unclassified non-coding RNA, 871 nt
Filed under: Bradyrhizobium sp. ORS 3636
Lineage: Bacteria; Pseudomonadati; Pseudomonadota; Alphaproteobacteria; Hyphomicrobiales; Nitrobacteraceae
Description: partial 16S-23S ribosomal RNA intergenic spacer
Rfam family: Bacterial large subunit ribosomal RNA (bases 760-871)
Source: RNAcentral